Molecule: ribosomal RNA, 505 nt
Filed under: uncultured bacterium
Lineage: Bacteria
Description: partial 16S ribosomal RNA
Rfam family: Bacterial small subunit ribosomal RNA
Source: RNAcentral
GACGAACGCUGGCGGCGUGCCUAAUACAUGCAAGUAGAACGCACAGUUUAUACCGUAGCUUGCUACACCAUAGACUGUGAGUUGCGAACGGGUGAGUAACGCGUAGGUAACCUGCCUGGUAGCGGGGGAUAACUAUUGGAAACGAUAGCUAAUACCGCAUAAUAUUGAUUAUUGCAUGAUAAUUGAUUGAAAGAUGCUAUUGCAUCACUACCAGAUGGACCUGCGUUGUAUUAGCUAGUAGGGGAGGUAACGGCUCACCUAGGCGACGAUACAUAGCCGACCUGAGAGGGGGAGCGGCCACACUGGGACGGAGACACGGCCCAGACGCCUACGGGAGGGAGCAGUAGGGAAUCUUCGGCAAUGGACGAAAGUCUGACCGAGAAACGCCGCGUGAGUGAAGAAGGGUUUCGGGUCGUAAAGCUCUGUUGUAAGAGAAGAACGGGUGUGAGAGUGGAAAGUUCACACUGUGACGGUAUCUUACCAGAAAGGGACGGCUAACUACGUG